AGAGUUUGAUCCUGGCUCAGGACGAACGCUGGCGGCGUGCUUAACACAUGCAAGUCGAACGGAAAGGCCCCUUCGGGGGUACUCGAGUGGCGAACGGGUGAGUAACACGUGGGCAAUCUGCCCUGCACUUCGGGAUAAGCCUGGGAAACUGGGUCUAAUACCGGAUAGGACCUUUAGGCGCAUGUCUUUAGGUGGAAAGCUUUUGCGGUGUGGGAUGGGCCCGCGGCCUAUCAGCUUGUUGGUGGGGUGAUGGCCUACCAAGGCGACGACGGGUAGCCGGCCUGAGAGGGUGUCCGGCCACACUGGGACUGAGAUACGGCCCAGACUCCUACGGGAGGCAGCAGUGGGGAAUAUUGCACAAUGGGCGCAAGCCUGAUGCAGCGACGCCGCGUGGGGGAUGACGGCCUUCGGGUUGUAAACCUCUUUCACCAUCGACGAAGGUCCGGGUUUUCUCGGAUUGACGGUAGGUGGAGAAGAAGCACCGGCCAACUACGUGCCAGCAGCCGCGGUAAUACGUAGGGUGCGAGCGUUGUCCGGAAUUACUGGGCGUAAAGAGCUCGUAGGUGGUUUGUCGCGUUGUUCGUGAAAUCUCACGGCUUAACUGUGAGCGUGCGGGCGAUACGGGCAGACUAGAGUACUGCAGGGGAGACUGGAAUUCCUGGUGUAGCGGUGGAAUGCGCAGAUAUCAGGAGGAACACCGGUGGCGAAGGCGGGUCUCUGGGCAGUAACUGACGCUGAGGAGCGAAAGCGUGGGGAGCGAACAGGAUUAGAUACCCUGGUAGUCCACGCCGUAAACGGUGGGUACUAGGUGUGGGUUUCCUUCCUUGGGAUCCGUGCCGUAGCUAACGCAUUAAGUACCCCGCCUGGGGAGUACGGCCGCAAGGCUAAAACUCAAAGGAAUUGACGGGGGCCCGCACAAGCGGCGGAGCAUGUGGAUUAAUUCGAUGCAACGCGAAGAACCUUACCUGGGUUUGACAUGCACAGGACGCGUCUAGAGAUAGGCGUUCCCUUGUGGCCUGUGUGCAGGUGGUGCAUGGCUGUCGUCAGCUCGUGUCGUGAGAUGUUGGGUUAAGUCCCGCAACGAGCGCAACCCUUGUCUCAUGUUGCCAGCGGGUAAUGCCGGGGACUCGUGAGAGACUGCCGGGGUCAACUCGGAGGAAGGUGGGGAUGACGUCAAGUCAUCAUGCCCCUUAUGUCCAGGGCUUCACACAUGCUACAAUGGCCGGUACAAAGGGCUGCGAUGCCGCAAGGUUAAGCGAAUCCUUUUAAAGCCGGUCUCAGUUCGGAUUGGGGUCUGCAACUCGACCCCAUGAAGUCGGAGUCGCUAGUAAUCGCAGAUCAGCAACGCUGCGGUGAAUACGUUCCCGGGCCUUGUACACACCGCCCGUCACGUCAUGAAAGUCGGUAACACCCGAAGCCAGUGGCCUAACCCUUGGGAGGGAGCUGUCGAAGGUGGGAUCGGCG
RNAcentral lists this ribosomal RNA (1464 nucleotides) under Mycobacterium sp. RNAcentral describes it as "bacterial SSU rRNA". It matches the Rfam family "Bacterial small subunit ribosomal RNA". RNAcentral also lists the same sequence under 2 other names. Lineage: Bacteria; Bacillati; Actinomycetota; Actinomycetes; Mycobacteriales; Mycobacteriaceae. The record is from RNAcentral.